AUGCCAGACUCCUACGGGAGGCAGCAGUGAGGAAUAUUGGUCAAUGGGCGGGAGCCUGAACCAGCCAAGUCGCGUGAGGGAAGACGGUCCUAUGGAUUGUAAACCUCUUUUGUCGGGGAGCAAAGAGAUCACGUGUGGUCAAAAGCGAGAGUACCCGAAGAAAAAGCAUCGGCUAACUCCGUGCCAGCAGCCGCGGUAAUACGGAGGAUGCGAGCGUUAUCCGGAUUUAUUGGGUUUAAAGGGUGCGUAGGCGGGACGUGAAGUCAGCGGUAAAAUGGCGGAGCUAAACCCCGUCGAGCCGUUGAAACUGCCGUUCUUGAGUGAGCGAGAAGUAUGCGGAAUGCGUGGUGUAGCGGUGAAAUGCGUAGAUAUUAGGAGGAACACCAGUGGCGAAGGCGACUUACUGGACUGUAACUGACGUUGAGGCACGAAAGUGUGGGGAGCAAACAGGAUUAGAUACCCGGGUA
Molecule: ribosomal RNA, 467 nt
Filed under: uncultured bacterium
Lineage: Bacteria
Description: bacterial SSU rRNA
Rfam family: Bacterial small subunit ribosomal RNA
Source: RNAcentral